AUAUUGGACUAUGGGGGCAACCCUGACCCAGCCAUGCCGCGUGUGUGAAGAAGGUCUGCGGAUUGUAAAGCACUUUAAGUUGGGAGGAAGGGGUUUAGGUUAAUACCCUGAAGUUUUGACGUUACCAAAAGAAUAAGCACCGGCCAACCCUGAGCAAUCAGCCGCGGUAAUACAGAGGGUGCAAGCGUUAAUCGGGAGUAUUGGGGGUAAAGCGCGCGUAGGUGGUUCAGUUAGAUGGGUGUGAAAUCCCCGGGCUUAACCUGGGAACUGCUUUCAUAACUGCUGGGCUAGAGUACGGUAGAGGGUAGUGGAAUUUCCUGUGUAGCGGUGAAAUGCGUAGAUAUAGGAAGGAACACAAGUGGCGAAGGCGACUACCUGGACUGAUACUAACACUGAGGUGCGAAAGCGUGGGGAGCAAAC
RNAcentral lists this ribosomal RNA (420 nucleotides) under uncultured bacterium. Its description in RNAcentral is "partial 16S ribosomal RNA". It matches the Rfam family "Bacterial small subunit ribosomal RNA", at positions 361 to 773 of the family's 1533-position model. The record is from RNAcentral.